GACAUAUAUAGAAAAGAUUCCAGGUAGCACUCCCAGGACUUGUCAAAAAGUAAAACUUUUAUUUAGCUUCAAACAAAACAAUGAAUGUUUCAGUUUGUUAUACACAAACUUUCAUCAGAGUCCUGAUGACAGUUUGUGUAUAACAAACUAAAACAUUGAUUGUUUAAUGUAAAGCUAAUUAAAAGCUAAGUUUUACUUUUUUGACAAUCCCUGGGAGUGCUAUCUAGAAUCUUUUCUAUGGAUUUGGC
Molecule: non-coding RNA, 248 nt
Organism: Pelobates cultripes (western spadefoot toad)
Lineage: Eukaryota; Metazoa; Chordata; Amphibia; Anura; Pelobatidae
Source: the annotation of a GenBank genome assembly